GAACUCCAAGGAUUAUAUGAUCACCAGAGUCUGACAGUAUUGUCUGUCCCUUCACAGCUCUGUGCUUUUUUUCCAGUAUGAGGCAGCUGCAUCAUGAUGUGCCGGAUGAAUAAGCGGGCAGUAAGGGAAAAGGCAAAAUUCAGAAGGAACUUUGCCUUAACUGCUCCUGUGAAGCCUGUGCCCAUGGAAAUACAGUAUGACAGUGCUCCUCUCCAUAAACUCCAGCAUGGAUGAAUCUAAGGAACAGUGGAGACCCAGGUGCUGAGGAAAAAGCAAGAGUAAGAAAAGAGAUGAAAGAACUUGUAACCAAGGUUGCUUGUGUCAGAUUCUUGAUGAACAGCAAGGUUCAGUUUCCAUUGCUGUUGGGAAUCUUUUAACAGCAAGAAAACAAAUCUGUGAAGAAGGAAACAUACAAAGUUACAAG
This is a long non-coding RNA of Athene cunicularia (burrowing owl), 424 nucleotides long. RefSeq lists it as uncharacterized. The transcript has 3 exons. The record is from RefSeq and is a predicted model, not a curated record. NCBI's taxonomy places the organism in Eukaryota, Metazoa, Chordata, Aves, Strigiformes, Strigidae.